AGAGUUUGAUCCUGGCUCAGGAUGAACGCUGGCGGCGUGCUUAACACAUGCAAGUCGAACGAACCUUCGGGUUAGUGGCGGACGGGUGAGUAACGCGUGAGAAUCUGCCCUCAGGAGGGGGAUAACAGCUGGAAACGGCUGCUAAUACCCCAUAUGCCGCGAGGUGAAAUGAAUUUCGCCUGAGGAUGAGCUCGCGUCUGAUUAGCUAGUUGGUGUAGGUAAUGGCUCACCAAGGCAUCGAUCAGUAGCUGGUCUGAGAGGAUGAUCAGCCACACUGGGACUGAGACACGGCCCAGACUCCUACGGGAGGCAGCAGUGGGGAAUUUUCCGCAAUGGGCGAAAGCCUGACGGAGCAACGCCGCGUGAGGGAUGAAGGCCUCUGGGCUGUAAACCUCUUUUAUCAAGGAAGAAGAUCUGACGGUACUUGAUGAAUAAGCCACGGCUAAUUCCGUGCCAGCAGCCGCGGUAAUACGGGAGUGGCAAGCGUUAUCCGGAAUUAUUGGGCGUAAAGCGUCCGCAGGCGGCCCUUCAAGUCUGCUGUUAAAAAGUGGAGCUUAACUCCAUCAUGGCAGUGGAAACUGAGGGGCUUGAGUGUGGUAGGGGCAGAGGGAAUUCCCGGUGUAGCGGUGAAAUGCGUAGAUAUCGGGAAGAACACCAGUGGCGAAGGCGCUCUGCUGGGCCAUCACUGACGCUCAUGGACGAAAGCCAGGGGAGCGAAAGGGAUUAGAUACCCCUGUAGUCCUGGCCGUAAACGAUGAACACUAGGUGUCGGGGGAAUCGACCCCCUCGGUGUCGUAGCCAACGCGUUAAGUGUUCCGCCUGGGGAGUACGCACGCAAGUGUGAAACUCAAAGGAAUUGACGGGGGCCCGCACAAGCGGUGGAGUAUGUGGUUUAAUUCGAUGCAACGCGAAGAACCUUACCAGGGUUUGACAUCCUGCGAAUCUCUUGGAAACGAGAGAGUGCCUUCGGGAACGCAGUGACAGGUGGUGCAUGGCUGUCGUCAGCUCGUGUCGUGAGAUGUUGGGUUAAGUCCCGCAACGAGCGCAACCCACGUCUUUAGUUGCCAGCAUUUAGUUGGGCACUCUAGAGAGACCGCCGGUGAUAAACCGGAGGAAGGUGUGGAUGACGUCAAGUCAUCAUGCCCCUUACAUCCUGGGCUACACACGUACUACAAUGCUACGGACAAAGGGCAGCAAGUUCGCGAGGACAAGCAAAUCCCAUAAACCGUGGCUCAGUUCAGAUCGUAGGCUGCAACUCGCCUACGUGAAGGAGGAAUCGCUAGUAAUCGCAGGUCAGCAUACUGCGGUGAAUACGUUCCCGGGCCUUGUACACACCGCCCGUCACACCAUGGAAGUUGGCCACGCCCGAAGCCGUUACUCCAACCCUUGUGGAGGAGGACGUCGAAGGUGGGGCUGAUGACUGGGGUGAAGUCGUAACAAGGUAUCCGUACCGGAAGGUGCGGAUG
Molecule: ribosomal RNA, 1466 nt
Filed under: Synechococcus sp. BL107
Lineage: Bacteria; Bacillati; Cyanobacteriota; Cyanophyceae; Synechococcales; Synechococcaceae
Also listed under: 5 other names
Description: bacterial SSU rRNA
Rfam family: Bacterial small subunit ribosomal RNA
Source: RNAcentral